AUACUUAUUAAUCUGAAUUGUGCUUGAGUAAGAGUAGUGUAUUUGUUUCAUAAAAAAAUUGCAAUCAGAAUCAAAAUAUUUAAAUAAUAAAUCAAGAUAAGUAAACCCAAUAGUGUUUCAAUGGAGAACACGAACAGAUUGUCACAAAGGUUCAUCCAGGUAUAAUAAACAGAACAAUCUUGUAGCCCAUAAAUUUAUGAAGCCUCGGCGACAAAUCAAAUCAAGUCAUAUAUAGAUUCUCUCAAGCAAAUCUACCAGAAUUGAAAACAGAACUCUGAAAAAUUUUGUGUUUCUAGAAAUACUGUUCUUAAAAAAUUCACAAUGUGAACUCAA
Long non-coding RNA from Ipomoea nil (Japanese morning glory), 333 nucleotides. RefSeq lists it as uncharacterized. The record is from RefSeq and is a predicted model, not a curated record. The transcript is spliced from 2 exons. Lineage: Eukaryota; Viridiplantae; Streptophyta; Magnoliopsida; Solanales; Convolvulaceae.